RNA transcript from Arachis duranensis, 1310 nucleotides. It is a transcript of the gene named E3 SUMO-protein ligase SIZ1-like, with no coding region annotated. NCBI's taxonomy places the organism in Eukaryota, Viridiplantae, Streptophyta, Magnoliopsida, Fabales, Fabaceae. The record is from RefSeq and is a predicted model, not a curated record. The transcript has 7 exons.
UCCCUCUUUUCCCGUUACAUACACUUAGUAAAAUUUUUGUCAUUCCCUCCAAAGAACGCACCUUCAUUCAUCCUCGCAACCCUGCCUCCCUGCGCCUACUUCGUAAACCCUCGCAACCUUGCCAAUUAAUUGUUCAAAACCCUAACUCCCCUUCCAAUUAAUUGUUCAAAUGCACGCAGCCUUUCCUUUCACACACACACCCAGAUCCGAGAGAAUGAGUGAACCAGAGGGAGGAGAGGAGGAAGACAGAGAUGAGAGCACGAGCGAGAGAACAGAGAGUGAGAGGGGUCACCACCGCAACGCUGCUACAGCCGCCGCCAUCGCCGUCGUGGAGGAGGGAGUCCGGAGGAGAGAGAGAAAGACGAUUCACAGACGAGAUGGAGAGAGAGGACGAAGACGCGAUGCAAGAGAGAAGGAGGUUGUUCCGCCAUGCACUGUCGUCGCUCCUAGGGUCAAUUGAAGCCGCCGCCACUGCUAGGGCUUGCCAUGCUCUCUCCUCACUUUCGGCUUCUACGAUUACUUCCUGUUCAUACUCCCAACCUCUCUCUCUCUCCAACUUUAAUUUCAUUCUCAUUUCAAUUUCAAUUUUGAUGUCUCUGCAGGCGUUUCAUCGGUGCCGUUUUCGAUUCCAAGGGUGCGGAUGCAAUUCUCUCCUUUGAAAAGUUCUGCUGCAAUCUCCCCAGAUCUCUUCUUCAGAUCAUAUAUGAUUAAUGUGAAUGAAGAACACUAGGUUGAGUUGAAUUGAAUUGAAUCAUGGAUAAGAGCAUGUUAGCUAGUUUGGAAUCACUUCCAGAAGCUUAUCAGCAAAGAAUGGCGUCCAUGAUGGAACAAGUUCAAAUCCGUGACAGCAUGAAGGGGAUUUUUAUUGCAUUGUUAGUUUUGGCUUGCAUGGCCUUCCUGCAGCUCGAGAGGUCCAACCAAUCAAAGUAUCCAAAAUGUUUGCCAAGAAGAAUGCUAUUGGAAAAGAACAGGUGGCAAAAUUAGUGGACGACACAUAUAGAAAAAUGCAUAUAUUUGGUGCCACUGACCUUGCAUCAAAGGGACAGGGAGCCUCAGAUAGCAGUAAUGUGAAAAUUAAAGUGUGACGAUCCACGAUGCCAUGUGUGGCAGCACAUAAAUUGUGUUAUUGUUCCAGAAAAACCUAUGGAAGGUGUCCUGCCAGUACCUGAUAAAUUUUAUUGUGAACUCUGCAGACUCAGCCGUGCAGACCCGUUUUGGGUUUCAAUGGGACACCCCUUGUUUCCCGUGAAGUUGAGCAUAACAAGUCACAACUCGUGUUGGCCAUUGUCUCUGAGGGAAGCAAGUCACAC